RNAcentral lists this ribosomal RNA (315 nucleotides) under uncultured eukaryote. Its description in RNAcentral is "partial 18S ribosomal RNA". It matches the Rfam family "Eukaryotic small subunit ribosomal RNA", at positions 1470 to 1796 of the family's 1831-position model. The record is from RNAcentral.
CCCUUAGACGUUCUGGGCCGCACGCGCGCUACACUGACCAGUGCAACAAGCAUCCGUCCUUGGCCGACAGGCUCGGGCAAUCUUUGAACGCUGGUCGUGAUGGGGAUAGACUUUUGCAAUUUUUGGUCUUCAACGAGGAAUUCCUAGUAAACGCAAGUCAUCAACUUGCAUUGAUUACGUCCCUGCCCUUUGUACACACCGCCCGUCGCACCUACCGAUUGAAUGGUCCGGUGAAGCCUCCGGAUUGGCGCGCACCUCGGUGCCGCCGAGAAGUUGGCUAAACCUUGCCAUUUAGAGGAAGGUGAAGUCGUAACA